UNUGUCAUGGACGCAGUCUGAACAUCCAUGCCGCGUGCAGGAUGAAGGCGCUCUGCGUUGUAAACUGCUUUUGUACGGGAAGAAUAUAUCGUUUGCGAACGGUUUUGACGGUACCGUAAGAAUAAGGAUCGGCUAACUACGUGCCAGCAGCCGCGGUAAUACGUAGGAUCCAAGCGUUGUCCGGAUUUAUUGGGUUUAAAGGGUGCGCAGGCGGCCUGAUAAGUCAGUGGUGAAAGCCCGUUGCUUAACAACGGAACUGCCAUUGAUACUGUCGGGCUUGAGUACAGUUGAGGUUGGCGGAAUGUAUCAUGUAGCGGUGAAAUGCUUAGAUAUGAUACAGAACACCGAUUGCGAAGGCAGCUGACUAAGCUGUUACUGACGCUCAGGCACGAAAGCGUGGGGAUCAAACAGGAUUAGAUACCCUGGUAGUCCACGCCGUAAACGUUGAUAACUCGAUGUUGGCGAUAUACUGUCAGCGUCUUAGCGAAAGCGUUAAGUUAUCCACCUGGGGAGUACGCCGGCAACGGUGAAACUCAAAGGAAUUGACGGGGGCCCGCACAAGCGGUGGAGCAUGUGGUUUAAUUCGAUGAUACGCGAGGAACCUUACCUGGGCUUAAAUGGGAUUGGACAGUUGCAGAAAUGCGAUCUCCCUUCGGGGCUGAUUCAAGGUGCUGCAUGGCUGUCGUCAGCUCGUGCGUGAGGUGUUGGGUUAGUCCCGCAAGAGGG
This 726-nucleotide ribosomal RNA is filed under the name uncultured bacterium. Its description in RNAcentral is "bacterial SSU rRNA". It matches the Rfam family "Bacterial small subunit ribosomal RNA", at positions 364 to 1098 of the family's 1533-position model. The record is from RNAcentral.